Molecule: non-coding RNA, 469 nt
Organism: Penaeus vannamei (Pacific white shrimp)
Lineage: Eukaryota; Metazoa; Arthropoda; Malacostraca; Decapoda; Penaeidae
Source: RefSeq, a predicted model, not a curated record
AUAUCCGACCCAAAGUCCGCGUAGUUCUUUCAAGGCCCGUAAUCUUGUCUCUUGUGAACAAACGUAUCAGUUGGAAGUAAGCUGCUUCGAGUGAACAACACACUGGCUGUUUAACUACAACACCAAAUUAUAUAAAUUCCCUAUAAAAUAAAUUCCUUGAGGAGCGGGAGCCCGCCGCGGGAAAUACCCACCUCCAAGGAAAAGAAUUUAAGCACCGCAGUCACACACACUUUGGUUUGUGUUUUAGCAUGUGAGGUUGUGAGACGUUGUGUUGUGAUUUGUGUUAUAAGGAGUAGGAGGAAAAAUACGUCUUCAUUUUUUUAAAGCCAUGGCAUCGGAGUUUCCUUACGUCCUGAACCCCUUCCCGGAGGAGGUGCAGACGAAGCUGAAGGCGAAGUUCCUCGGGUUCAGGGGCGGCUUAGUGGACGUCGAGGGGCGCACGCCAUGCGCGCACUACGCCGCUUUGGAG